AGAAUUCGAUUAGGAUUUAGAAAGAAUUUCAUUAUGGUUUUAUUAAGAUUUGAUUUAAGAUUUGAUUAGGAUUGGUUUUGGAUUUCAUUAGGAUUUUUUGAGGAUUAUAUUAGAAUUUGAUUAGAAUUCAAUUAUGAUUUUUAUUUUAAAUAUUUAUUUAAUAUUUUUUAUUAUAUGUAUUUUAUUAAGAUUAAUUAAUAAUAUCUUUAUAUUUUA
Molecule: long non-coding RNA, 216 nt
Filed under: Physcomitrium patens
Lineage: Eukaryota; Viridiplantae; Streptophyta; Bryopsida; Funariales; Funariaceae
Description: long non-coding RNA (PPAT_LNC007294)
Source: RNAcentral